GUGUUACUUUGUAACAGUCAAACGUGGUUAUUCCUGGCGUUGAUCAACUCCCCAUCCAUGCCACCAUUUAUUUAAAGCAUUAUAUUUUUUAUGGAAAACAAAAAGCAUACAGAGCUCAUUUUGGUGUAACCAUAAUCGAAUUUGACGUGUCGGAGAACGGCGACUUCGUCCCGAAAUCAUUGCAGGUAUCGCUUCUCGGCCUUUUGGCUAAGAUCAAGUGUACUGCGCAUGAUCAGAGAAGCGAUCAGCAGGCCGGAGGGCGCCGGGAGACUGUGCUAUUCACUUUGUUAAAAGUCAUUUCUGUUGUUUUGUUUCAUUAUUGUUUUCUGUCCUGGGUUAGGUGGUGGUUCUGGUGGUGGACUACAGGUGCACCAGCACCUGUAGGGAAAUGGGAGGAUAAGUGGCAGCAUGGGCCCUCCAUUUGGAGUGGUUCCAAUUUUAACAAGAACGACGGUGUUGCUAUUUUAAUCAAGACCCCACAGGUGGUGGUGAAGGGGAGCACGGUGGUGGUAGGAUCGGGAACCAGUAUGUCCAGUGCGCGGGCUCGCGAUAGGUGAGCCCACAACGGUUUGGCGCAACGUGGCCCACCCUGCUCUCUUGAAUCGGCAUCGGGACCUGUCCUGGAUGGUCGCCCACGAGAUCCUCCCGGUCAGGGCCGUUAUGCACUCACGGGGCAUGGCGAGGAUAUCCGCGUGCCCCCGACCAGGCUGCGGCCAAGAAGAGUCGGUGAGGCACAUGCUCUGGGAGUGCAGAGCCGCCAGGGACCUGUGGAAGGAAGCAGGCCCCUGAUCACCUCGUGUCUGCCAGCAGGGGAGGACCUAACACCUCAGCUCGUGCUGUAUGGGGUGGGCCGAAGGCCCAUUCCAUCGAAGACCUUCACCAAGCUCUGGUCCACCCUCACGUGCCUGAAGGAAGCACUGUGGUCCUCCCGUAACCUGCUGGUAGCGAAAAACGUAGAGACCAACCCCCAGGCAGUGGCCAUGGUAGCCAUGGAAGCCCUGGGGUGGUACGGAAGAAGGGGGGCCUCGACCCCAAGCGAAGGGUCCCCCACAACACCCUAGGUCCCGGCGGCCACGGCCUGACAGCGCUGCGGUGCCUAGGGCGAUGCGCCUAGGGGAGGGAUCCCCUCUGGGCCCCGAAGGACGGGACGAUGAUCCAUUCAGAAGAGCAGGAUGAGGUGAGCUUGAUAAAGACUCACCCCGCUCCUGUAUAAGGGACUGAAGACAGCCUUUUUAACAAAGUGGCUUUUUAACAUGUUUUUCAUGUCUUAAAAAUGUUUUACCUUUGUUAGAUCAUUUGUACACAUUUUAAAUGGCUUUCACAGAUUUGAUGUUUUUACAAGGAAAGUACUUUUAUUCAUAGUUGUUUUCAUUGGUUUUAACAACAUGUACUUUUUAACAAAUUUAAAUGUAACCUUCAAAUGCGGUGUUUUAUGCUUUGUUGCCGUUUUUAUGUGUAUAAAUUAUGUAAAAAAUGUAUGAGCUGUUUUUAAAGGAAUUGUGUUAAUAAAACUUUUCCAAAAGAAAAGAAAAAUCUGUUCUUAUCAGUUUAAUAUCUGAUACGUCCCCUAUCUGGGGACCAUAUAUUAAAUUGAUUUUUGGAAUAGGGAGAUGGAAUAGGGGCUUGCUCCGUCCACUCCACGCAUCGACCUGGUAUUGCAGUGCCUCCAGGAACGGUGCACC
Molecule: long non-coding RNA, 1682 nt
Organism: Oncorhynchus masou masou (cherry salmon)
Lineage: Eukaryota; Metazoa; Chordata; Actinopteri; Salmoniformes; Salmonidae
Exons: 3
Source: RefSeq, a predicted model, not a curated record